RNAcentral lists this ribosomal RNA (1266 nucleotides) under Triticum aestivum (bread wheat). RNAcentral's name for it is "partial small subunit ribosomal RNA". Lineage: Eukaryota; Viridiplantae; Streptophyta; Magnoliopsida; Poales; Poaceae. The record is from RNAcentral.
AUGUUGAGGCCACCGCACCGACUCGUGAGCCACCGCCGGCUGCUGGGCACGUCAGCGUCCGCGCCGCUGGCGGGCGACGAGGCAGCUGCGGCGCAUGGCUCCAGCCCGAACUCCGUGAAGAUCAUGGUGUCCGUUCUGGUGGUGGUCAUCUUCUGCACGCUCCUCUACUGCGUCUACUGCUGGCGCUGGCGGAAGCGCAACGCCGUCAGGAGAACGCAGAACGAGAACAUGACGCCGCUGUCUAGGUCGAUCUCGGAGCUGCCGCUCAUGGACCUGGCCUCCAUCGACGCCGCCACCGGCAACUUCGCCAGGGCCAACAAGCUCGGCGAGGGCGGCUUCGGCCCGGUAUACAGAGGCGUCAUGGCGUGCGGCGCGGAGAUCGCAGUGAAGCGGCUGUCGGCGCGGUCGCGGCAGGGCGCGGCGGAGUUCCGGAACGAGGUGGAGCUGAUCGCCAAGCUGCAGCACCGCAACCUGGUGCGGCUGCUAGGCUGGUGCGCCGAGCGCGACGAGAAGCUGCUCGUCUACGAGUACUUGCCCAACGGCAGCCUCGACGCCUUCCUCUUUGACACCAGCAAGAGCGCCGAGCUAGACUGGAAUAGCAGGCACAACAUCAUCAUCGGCAUUGCCCGUGGGUUGCUCUACCUCCAUGAGGACUCACUGCUCAAGGUCAUUCACCGAGACCUCAAGCCAAGUAAUGUUCUCCUCGACAACAAGAUGAACCCCAAGAUCUCCGACUUUGGCUUGGCUAGGAUCUUCAAGGACGAAUGCAAUGGUGUCAACACGGGACACAUCGUCGGGACCUAUGGGUACAUGGCACCGGAAUUUGUGAUGGAUAGUGUCUUCUCAGCAAAAUCAGAUGUUUUUGGCUUUGGAGUCCUCCUACUAGAGAUCUUGAGUGGACAACGGAAUAGCAUGUCAUACCUUGAGGAGCACCGACAAUCCCUCAUCCAAGAUGCAUGGAAGUUCUGGAUUGAAGAUCGGGCAAAUGAAUUUAUUGAUCGUGCACUUGGGCAAUCUUACUCAAGGGACGAGGCAUGGCGUUGCUUCCAAGUCGGCCUCCUCUGCGUGCAAGAUGACCCCGACAUUCGACCAACCAUGUCAAAUGUCCUUCUAAUGCUCGUCAGUGAACAAAUGAGCCUGCCAGCACCAUCUAGGCCGGUGAGAAACGUCCCAUUGUUAGCGCCAUCGGCCAUGUUAAGGAGUGAACCGUUGGUUUCUCAUAAGUCGAUCAACUAUGCCUCGAUAACUGCUAUCCAGCCGCGAUGA